GACGAACGCUGGCGGCGUGCUUAACACAUGCAAGUCGAACGGAAAGGCCCUGCUUUUGUGGGGUGCUCGAGGGGCGAACGGGUGAGUAACACGUGAGUAACCUGCCCUUGACUUUGGGAUAACUUCAGGAAACUGGGGCUAAUACCGGAUAGGAGCUCCUGCUGCAUGGUGGGGGGUGGAAAGUUUCGGCGGUUGGGGAUGGACUCGCGGCUUACCGGCUUGUUGGUGGGGUAGUGGCUUACCAAGGCUUUGACGGGUAGCCGGCCUGUGAGGGUGAACGGCCACAUUGGGACUAAGAUACGGCCCAGACUGCUACGGGAGGCAGCAGUGGGGAGUAUUGCACAAUGGGCGGAAGCCUGAUGCAGCAACGCCGCGUUCGGGAUGACGGCCUUCGGGUUGUAAACCGCUUUCGCCUGUGACGAAGCGUGAGUGACGGUAAUGGGUAAAGAAGCACCGGCUAACUACGUG
RNAcentral lists this ribosomal RNA (468 nucleotides) under uncultured bacterium. Its description in RNAcentral is "partial 16S ribosomal RNA". It matches the Rfam family "Bacterial small subunit ribosomal RNA", at positions 28 to 507 of the family's 1533-position model. The record is from RNAcentral.